This 253-nucleotide ribosomal RNA is filed under the name uncultured bacterium. RNAcentral's name for it is "partial 16S ribosomal RNA". It matches the Rfam family "Bacterial small subunit ribosomal RNA", at positions 524 to 776 of the family's 1533-position model. The record is from RNAcentral.
UACAGAGGUCCCGAGCGUUGUUCGGAUUCACUGGGCGUAAAGGGUGCGUAGGCGGUCGGGUAAGUCUGGCGUGAAAUCUCCAAGCCUAACUUGGAAACUGCGUUGGAUACUAUCCGGCUCGAGGAAUGGAGGGGAGACUGGAAUACUUGGUGUAGCAGUGAAAUGCGUAGAUAUCAAGUGGAACACCAGUGGCGAAGGCGAGUCUCUGGACAUUUCCUGACGCUGAGGCACGAAAGCCAGGGGAGCAAACGGG